RNAcentral lists this long non-coding RNA (2682 nucleotides) under Sus scrofa (pig). Its description in RNAcentral is "lncRNA (ENSSSCG00040060524.1)". The record is from RNAcentral. Lineage: Eukaryota; Metazoa; Chordata; Mammalia; Artiodactyla; Suidae.
UUUAAAUCAACAAACAUUUAUUAUCUCACAAUCACCAUGGGUCAGGAGUCUGGGUCCUUCAUGUAGGAUCGCACAAGGCUAUAAUCAGUCAGCUGGACUGCGUUCUCCUCUGGAGGCUUGACUGGGAAAGAAUUUACUUCCAAACUCACGCAGGUCAUUCUCACAUUUAUUUCCUUGUGACCAGGGAGCUGAGGACUCAGGGCCUCAGUUUCCUGGUGGCUACUGGUUGCCCUCAGCACCUGGAGGUCACCCUAGUUCCUUUCCUGGUGGUUCCGACCACAGCCCUCUUAUAACACGGCAGCUUGCUUCUUUGCCAAGAAGAGAGGAAGUGUUUAGAGUGAGUUUGGUGGCAGAACAGAAUUUUACAUAAUGUAACACAGUCAGUCACAGGAGUGACGUCCCAUUACAUUUGCACAUCUGAUUGGUUAGAAGCAAGUUCAGAGGUGCUGCCCACAUUCAAAAGGCAGGGAUGAUUGGGAGUCUGUCCACGAGAGCUGUGUUCCAAUAAAACUUUCGAAAAACAAGUGGAGGCUGGAUUUGGCCCAUAGGCCAUGGCUUGUAGAUCCCUGGUACAAUAGAUAGAUAAGACAUAGAAGCCAUUGCUAACGUAAAAAGAGAUAAAAAUACAUGAAAUAAAGUUAGAAAAAAAAAAAAAAAAAGAACCUUCAGAGCAAGAAGAGCCAUGUAGAAAUACAAUCACAGAAAAAAUGUAUUACUGAUUCUGGUCCUAUCUCAAAAUACAUCUAUUACCUUGUUCAUAAAAAAAUGAAGGGAGAUUCCACCACACAAAAAAAAUUAAGGGAGUUCCCAUUGUGGCUCAGUGAGUUAAGAAUCUGACCAGUAUUCAUGAGGAUGUGGGUUCGAUCCCUGGUUUUGCUCAGUGGUUUAAGGAUCUGGCCAUAGGGUGCACUGUAGAUCACAGAUAUGGCUUGAACCUGGCCUUGCUGUGGCUGUGGAUUGAACCCACAUUCUCAUGGACACUAGUCAGACUGCAUCACAACAAGCCAUGUCUGCAAACUACACCACAGCUCAUGGCAGAAUUGAACCCCCAUCCUCAUGGAUGGAUACUAGUCAGAUUGCAUCACAAUAGGAACUCCACAUUUUGGUUGUUUUUUUAACUGACUGUAUAAUAUAUUACACUUCAAGAAGCCAGGAACUGUAUUAGUUUUGCUCAUGACUGUUAGCAUAGUACCUAGUGUACACACAGUUCCUGGAACCAUAGGCAUCACUGAAUAUUUGUGAAGGAAAUAAAUGUCUGACUUCAAUGCCCUUACACUAAAUACUGUACAACCGUAUUUCAAAUUUGCAGAUUUUAGAAGAGAUCUUCCUCUUCAAUCUGUCCGGAAUUAUCAACAUAACAUACCCCAAGGCAUUAGCGAUGCUUCAAUCUCCCUCAACACUCUUCCCCAAACCCAUUCCCAGAUUAAAAAGAAUAUGGAGAAUGACAUGAACAGGAGGAGGAAGGGGCUGAUGAUGUUGGCUUGGGGCAGGCGAAUUCUCAUUCAUGGUUGGUGAAAGUAUAAACUGAUGUGAACCUUUGGGAAAACAAUUUAUCAAUAUGCAAAACAGCCUUAAAAUAAAUGCACACAGAUAAAAACAUACACAGACAAGGGUAUUUUAAUUUACAUGAAGCAUGUGAAAAGAUACAAAACAAAUGUUUCCGACUAGUUAGGGAGGUGCUUCUGGGGAGUGAGAUAGCAAAAGAGACUUCUUAACUGUUUUUUUUUUUAAAUAGGCAAUUUUAUUUUUAUAAUACAAUCACAUUAGAAAUAAAAAUAGAAAGCAAAUCUUCAUAGUUUUGGCAUAAUAAUCCCAAUUCUAGCAAUCUAUAUUAAUAAAAUAAGACAUGCGGUCUAGGUUUAUUUAUAAUGAUAUUCCCCAGCGUAUUCUUUAGCAUGUUAAAAAAUUGGAAAUAAUCUAAAUGCCCCAAAAUAGAUUGGUUGACUAAAUAAAGCGUAGUAGCUCAUUUAAAUGAAGGACAAUUUAAUAUACGUUAAAAUUAUGUUUUACACAAUAAGGGCAAGAAAAAUCCUUAUGUUACAAUGUUACAGAAGCAAAGCAAAGUGUGAAACUAUAUUUAUUGCAUUAAUCCAAUUUGUUAUGUAAAAAGGAAAAAAAGGAGAAAGACAUAUGAAUAGAAAAAACAAAAAACAAAAAACAACUUUCAAUAAAAUCUACCAAAAUGUCAUUAAUGGCCAUUUCUAGAUGAUGAGAUUCUACAAUUUUAGGUUAUUCCUUCAUGGUUUUUUUNCUUUUUUGUUUUUUUUUUUUUUUUUUUUUUUGUAUUUCCUAACUAAAAACAAUCAUAUUUUCUAACAGAAGAAUUGCAAACAUUAUUUGUAAUACUCCUUUCUAGAAAGUAAUUUAUUUUUAUUCAAUCCUUUUGAUAAGCAACUUGCAAUACAUGUUAAUGUACUAAGAGAAUAGGUUUCAGUUCCCACUUAUUGCCCCAUCCAUCUUACUUCUCUGAAAAAGUAACACACAUUUAAUAAUCCUUGGGAAUGAUACUUUUUUUGACUUGUGUAUUGUAACAAUGGUGAUACCUUAAGAAAUAAAAUUAUCGACAAUAAAUAUAUUUCAGGAUGGGAGUUCCUGCUACGGCACAGCAGAAACAAAUCUGAGGUUGUGGGUUCCAUCCCUGGCCUCCUAGCCUGGGAAUCUCCACAGGCUGUAGGUGCGGCC